Molecule: small RNA, 408 nt
Filed under: Pan troglodytes (chimpanzee)
Lineage: Eukaryota; Metazoa; Chordata; Mammalia; Primates; Hominidae
Description: retained intron
Source: RNAcentral
AUGUAUUACUUUUAUAAUUAAGAUGUUAAAGUCCUGUGAGGUCAUUUCAGAAAAUAAUCAUUACUGUGAUGAUUUUUCAGUCUUUCCAGUGUCAGCCUGCCUUUAGCUAAGAUAAUUCCAAUAGUAAACGGACAGAUCCAUUCAGUUUGCAGUGAAACACCUAGUCAUUUUGUUCAGGAUCUGUUGACAAUGGAGCAAGUGAAAGACUUUGCUGCUAAUGUGUAUGAAGCUUUUAGUACCCCUCAGCAACUGGAGAAAUGAUUUUUCCUUCAAGAAAAACUACAGUGGGAUUCAUUUACUUUUUAAAAUACACUGGGUAAAUCACCUAUACUUAGAGUAACAGUUUGUUAUCAAAAUGCCUGAUAAAAUAUAUUCUUAAUAAAAGUCUUCAUUUCAUAAUGAAAUCAA